CAAGGUUUGGCUCACCUGUUCAGCGGGGAAUAUAUAACUCGAAGGACGCUAACACAUAUUGUUCCUCCAUGCAACAGAACUCGUCCAUUACGACGAAACGUCACUCGAUUCUGAUCAGAUUCAACGAAAAGGAAAACGGACACUAACCUAUUUCGGGGCGGAAUGUCACCUGUCAACAAUCUCAGUACAAACUCAGCCUCUUCAGAUCGAUGAUUGAUUUGAAUCAGAAAUACACAUGCAAGAAGAA
Long non-coding RNA from Haliotis rufescens (red abalone), 247 nucleotides. RefSeq lists it as uncharacterized. The record is from RefSeq and is a predicted model, not a curated record. The transcript is spliced from 2 exons. Lineage: Eukaryota; Metazoa; Mollusca; Gastropoda; Lepetellida; Haliotidae.